ACAUGCGGCCACAUCACCGAGGGUCACCGCUUCCCAUUCGAACAACGAAGUUACUAUUAAUUCGGUCGAGCCCAGGCAGUACUUCCAUCCGGGAGGGGGAGGGAAGGCUGAGUGCUGCAUGUC
Non-coding RNA from Emiliania huxleyi CCMP1516, 123 nucleotides. Lineage: Eukaryota; Haptophyta; Isochrysidales; Noelaerhabdaceae. The record is from Rfam.